RNAcentral lists this ribosomal RNA (117 nucleotides) under Clostridium paridis. RNAcentral also lists the same sequence under 1 other name. The record is from RNAcentral. Lineage: Bacteria; Bacillati; Bacillota; Clostridia; Eubacteriales; Clostridiaceae.
AUUGGUGAUGAUGAUACAAAGGUAACACCCCUUCCCAUUUCGAACAGGACGGUUAAGCUUUGAGAUGCCGAUGGUACUGCACGGGAGACUGUGUGGGAGAGUAGGGAAUCGCCAAUU